This 2878-nucleotide ribosomal RNA is filed under the name Stenotrophomonas maltophilia. RNAcentral describes it as "23S ribosomal RNA". It matches the Rfam family "Bacterial large subunit ribosomal RNA". RNAcentral also lists the same sequence under 2 other names. Lineage: Bacteria; Pseudomonadati; Pseudomonadota; Gammaproteobacteria; Lysobacterales; Lysobacteraceae. The record is from RNAcentral.
GGUCAAGCGAAUAAGCGCACACGGUGGAUGCCUUGGCGGUCAGAGGCGAUGAAGGACGUGGCAGCCUGCGAAAAGUAUCGGGGAGCUGGCAACAAGCUUUGAUCCGGUAAUGUCCGAAUGGGGAAACCCACCCGCUUGCGGGUAUCCUGCAGUGAAUACAUAGCUGCUGGAAGCGAACCUGGUGAACUGAAAUAUCUAAGUAACCAGAGGAAAAGAAAUCAACCGAGAUUCCGUAAGUAGCGACGAGCGAACGCGGACUAGCCCUUAAGCUGAUUUGGUUCUAGGAAAACGCUCUGGAAAGAGCGGCCAUAGAAGGUGAUAGCCCUGUAUCUGAAAGGGCCAUUUCAGUGAAGACGAGUAGGGCGGGGCACGUGAAACCCUGUCUGAACAUGGGGGGACCAUCCUCCAAGGCUAAAUACUACUGACCGACCGAUAGUGAACCAGUACCGUGAGGGAAAGGCGAAAAGAACCCCGGAGAGGGGAGUGAAAUAGAACCUGAAACCGUGUGCGUACAAGCAGUAGGAGCUCCGCAAGGAGUGACUGCGUACCUUUUGUAUAAUGGGUCAGCGACUUACUGUUCGUGGCAAGCUUAACCGUAUAGGGGAGGCGAAGGGAAACCGAGUCUGAUAAGGGCGCAUAGUCGCGGGCAGUAGACCCGAAACCGGGUGAUCUAGUCAUGCCCAGGGUGAAGGUGCGGUAACACGCACUGGAGGCCCGAACCCACUCCCGUUGCAAAGGUAGGGGAUGAGGUGUGAUUAGGAGUGAAAAGCUAAUCGAACCCGGAGAUAGCUGGUUCUCCUCGAAAGCUAUUUAGGUAGCGCCUCAUAUGUAUCCUCUCGGGGGUAGAGCACUGUUAUGGCUAGGGGGUCAUCGCGACUUACCAAACCAUUGCAAACUCCGAAUACCGAGACGGACUGUAUGGGAGACACACGGCGGGUGCUAACGUCCGUCGUGAAAAGGGAAACAACCCAGACCCACAGCUAAGGUCCCAAAUUUUGUGCUAAGUGGAAAACCAUGUGGAAAGGCACAGACAGCCAGGAGGUUGGCUUAGAAGCAGCCACCCUUUAAAGAAAGCGUAAUAGCUCACUGGUCGAGUCGGUCUGCGGGGAAGAUUUAACGGGGCUAAGCACAGAACCGAAGCUUGGGGUGCAUACUUUGUAUGCGCGGUAGAGGAGCGUUCCGUAAGCCGUUGAAGGUGGAUUGAGAAGUCUGCUGGAGGUAUCGGAAGUGCGAAUGCUGACAUGAGUAACGAUAAUGCGGGUGAAAAACCCGCACGCCGAAAGCCCAAGGUUUCCUUGCGCAACGUUAAUCGGCGCAGGGUGAGUCGGCCCCUAAGGCGAGGACGAAAGUCGUAGUCGAUGGGAAGCAGGUUAAUAUUCCUGCACCUCGCGUAAGUGCGAUGGAGGGACGGAGAAGGUUAGGUGUACCAGGCGUUGGUUGUCCUGGGGAAAGGCGGUAGGUUUGGAUCUUUGGCAAAUCCGGGAUCCUCUAAGACCGAGCACCGAGACGAGCCUUUAUGGCAAAGUCACUGAUACCACGCUUCCAGGAAAAGCUCCUAAGCUUCAGCUUACGCAGACCGUACCGUAAACCGACACAGGUGGGUAGGAUGAGAAUUCUCAGGCGCUUGAGAGAACUCGGGUGAAGGAACUAGGCAACAUGGCACCGUAACUUCGGGAGAAGGUGCACCCUUUUUGGUGGCUCGUGCGAGCUAUAGCUGAAGAGGGUCGCAGUAACCAGGCCGCUGCGACUGUUUAUCAAAAACACAGCACUCUGCAAACACGAAAGUGGACGUAUAGGGUGUGACGCCUGCCCGGUGCUGGAAGGUUAAUUGAUGGGGUCAGCCGCAAGGCGAAGCUCUUGAUCGAAGCCCCAGUAAACGGCGGCCGUAACUAUAACGGUCCUAAGGUAGCGAAAUUCCUUGUCGGGUAAGUUCCGACCUGCACGAAUGGCGUAACGACAGCGGCGCUGUCUCCACCCGAGACUCAGUGAAAUUGAAAUCGCUGUGAAGAUGCAGCGUUCCCGUGGCAAGACGGAAAGACCCCGUGAACCUUUACUAUAGCUUUACACUGAACGUUGAGUUCGUCUGUGUAGGAUAGGUGGGAGGCUAUGAAACCAUGGCGCUAGCUGUGGCGGAGCCAUCCUUGAAAUACCACCCUGUCGUGCUUGACGUUCUAACCUGGGCCCAUUAUCUGGGUCGGGGACCGUGUAUGGUGGGUAGUUUGACUGGGGCGGUCUCCUCCUAAAGAGUAACGGAGGAGCUCGAAGGUACGCUCAGCGCGGUCGGACAUCGCGCACUGUGUGCAAAGGCAUAAGCGUGCUUGACUGCAAGAUCGACGGAUCAAGCAGGUAGGAAACUAGGACUUAGUGAUCCGGUGGUUCUGUAUGGAAGGGCCAUCGCUCAACGGAUAAAAGGUACUCCGGGGAUAACAGGCUGAUACCGCCCAAGAGUUCAUAUCGACGGCGGUGUUUGGCACCUCGAUGUCGGCUCAUCACAUCCUGGGGCUGUAGUCGGUCCCAAGGGUAUGGCUGUUCGCCAUUUAAAGUGGUACGCGAGCUGGGUUCAGAACGUCGUGAGACAGUUCGGUCCCUAUCUGCCAUGGGCGUUGGAGAUUUGAGAGGGGCUGCUCCUAGUACGAGAGGACCGGAGUGGACGAACCUCUGGUGUUCCGGUUGUCACGCCAGUGGCAUUGCCGGGUAGCUAUGUUCGGAAGCGAUAACCGCUGAAAGCAUCUAAGCGGGAAGCGCGCCUCAAGAUGAGAUCUCCCGGGGCACAAGCCCCCUGAAGGAACCAUGUAGACUACGUGGUUGAUAGGUCAGGUGUGUAAGUACAGCAAUGUAUUGAGCUAACUGAUACUAAUGAUCCGUGCGGCUUGACCAU